UUGGGUUUCACUUGGAAAAAACAUACAUCAUAUUGCAAUAUAAUUUACUUUGAGAUUUCAGUUUGGAAAAUGGCAUGGAAAUAAUCCAGCUUGAACAUCGUCCUCCUCACCUCCUGGACUAGGGCGAGGGCCCCUUAUAUUUCUUCAUGACAAUUGUGUCACAGUUCAAACGCUCGUACCCUGACUCCAUCUGGGAUUUGGAAUGCACUCAGGGAAGUGGCUGUGCAUGGAGACUAGAAAUGGAAGAGGCUUCCAAGGUCAUGCCUUUCAGGCUCCCUUCAAAUUCUACAGCUACUGUGAAGAGAGUUGCAUUCCCACAGAGAACAUGUCAGACUGGAGGAAAAUUGUGACAAAAGGUCUCCCCAGAGGUCUCUGAAACUUCGAUCUUAUCUCAUUCCACAAGGCAAAGGCCAGUUUCCUAAAUCAAAGAAUGAAACAAAGUACAUCUUUUUCAAGUAUUGUUUUGACAUCACUCCCUUUUAUACAACUGGACAGGCACUCCCAUUGUCUUUUUAAAUAAUUUUUAAACACUCCUGAACUUUGGCUUGGAGAUCCUCAUUUGAAAUGAUUUUAUCACUCUAGACAUACUAGCUCAUAUUUUUUAACUUCAACCUGGCAAAAGUUAAUAUCCCUCAUAAAACUCUACCCACUCUCUUCUCUAAGUAUCACAUAAACCACUCUUCCUGAUUAUACAUGCCCCAUCUUGAGCCAUAUCCAUUACUCUGUCAACUUUCCCUGGAGGUUAAUCUGCUAGUGAGAAUUUAAGUGGACUCCUGGGGUGGAGUAUUCUACAGUGGAUGGAACUUGGAUUCUGAAGUCAGUCAGUUCUGGUUCAAAUCCCAGUUAUUCCAUUUACUAGCUGUGUCAUGUUGGGCAAGCUAUGUAACCUCCCUAAAUCAUUGUUUCCUCACCUAGAAUAUGAAUACAAUAUUAAUAGUACUGGUAUAACAGUUGUUCUGUGAAUUAAAUAAGAUAUUGCAUAUAAAGAACUUAGUUCAGAGUAAACACAUUAUAAAAUUCAACACAUGUUAGUCCCCAUGAUUACAAUUCUUUUGGAGCACAAAAUAAUCAGAGAUAUGUAACAAAGAUGGUUGUGAAGAGAUGUUUAUGUACCAUUUUUGUAAGAGUAAAAAGUUAGAAACAAUUUAUGCCCAACUGUGGUUGACUAUGCAACCAAUUAUAAGUCAUGUUCUGAAUGUUGGGAAAUAUCAAGAUUGUAUUAGUGAGUAUUAAAAAAAACAUAAAACCUGCAGAGCAUCAAAUUUGGGAGGGAAAGUAUAUGCAUAGAAAAGAGAUUUGAAGAACCUACAUCAAAAAGUAGAUUAUAAUUAUCUCAACAGAGAAAAAGUAUAUGGAGUAUAGAUGGGUACUGGGAUUAUGAAGAUUUUAAAAAUGUUUUGUAUUUUUCUGUGCAUCCUAAAUUUUGUACCUUUUGUAAUUAGGAAAAUUACAUGCUGUUGAAAAAUAAUGGAUGAAGUUUAGCCUUCUCAGAUGAUCUCCUUCUGGCUCCAAUUAAUUCAGACCUCCAGCUUAUCCACUUCCUUUAUUUCCUUUUUCACUCUCUACAGAUUUAUGUUUCCUCUGCACAGCUGCAGUUGGUUUCAAAUAUUUGGCAGAGACUGUAGUUGGUGUUUAGAUAUAUUUAUGUGGGUUCUCUCUCCCUCAUCAGACUGCAUUUCCACGAGAGUAUCUUCCCUAUAUUUUCUCUGUAAUUGUGGAUAGUGGCUUGGAAGCUCUUUGUCCCAAAAGUUAACUGAUUGAGGUCAUUGUAAACAAUGCAAGAAGAAAAACUUGCUUAACUUGUUUCAUUAUUAACAUUAAUUGGGAGCUAAGGUUCGCAUGUUAGGAAUGGAGGGGUUUAUAGACUGGUUGGGAAUUAGGCCCUGUGCCCGAGGCAAUGCUUUGUGUUUACGCAGCUAUUUCAUUUCCUCCUGGAACAUAGGAAUACCAAGGCCUCUUGCAUUGAGGAAGGGUUACAUGACUGGUUCUGACAAGCAAAAUGGAAACAGAUGUGGUGUGCACCACUUCCAGACCCCAAAUCAUUUUACAUAUUCCUUUAUCAAUUCUUGCUUCCCCUGCUGUCUGCUGGCUGGAUAGUGCCAGGGUGAACUUGAAGCCACAAUAUGGUAGAGCCACAAGAUGGAAAGAACCUGGGUCCCUGAGCUUCUGCUUAGAGAGGAACUACUCAAGAGAAUUAUCUGAACAGACACAUCUGAAAUGAACAGGGUCAGUGAGAAAGAUAAGACUCUUAUUAAGUAAAAGUAUUGAGAUUUGAAGGCUAUUUAUUCUUGUAGUAACCCUAUCCCAACUAACAACAGAAAAUUAUACAAAUAGUAAAAGAAUUCAAGAUAACAUAUUUUAAGUGUCAAACAAAUGGAAUAUAAUUUUUGAAUUUGCCUAAUAUUUUACUGUUCUCCCAAAUCAUUUGCUUCCCUACCUUAUUCAAUUCUCUAAGAAACCUUGAUGAGUCUAUCUUUGUGUCACAAUUUAAGAAACUGGCCUUAGAGUUGUUACAUUCUUUGACCUAAGCUAGAACCAAAAUUUUCUGGCUCCAAAUACUGUACUCUUUGCCUUUAGGCAUAAAUACUAUAAGAGUAACUAAUGACUAAAUUAUUUAUAGAAAAGAUGUUUUGCCUAAAUUGUCUAGGGAGUAAUUUUUUGAACACUCGUUCCAGCAGCAGCUAAUAAAUGUCCCAAGAAAUAGAGUUCCAAGGCCAAAUGAGUUUGGGAAACACUGGGUUAAACAAAUGUGACCAGGAGUCUUCUACUUACUGCCAAUCUCUCAGAGCCUUUAACUUACAAUUUGGAGGCUCAUAGGGAGCCUAUGCAGCAUAUCCCAUACACCUGACCACAGAAUUCUUUGAUGAUAGAGCCAUCGUCAGGAGCAGAGUGUGCUGAAACAUGCCUGAGAAAGGUUUUCUAGAUAACAGCUCUCAUUCUCCACUGCACCCUGGUUCCACUUUAGUCUAUUCACUUCUUAGAGUACAUUUCUCAGCUAAUGUUGGGAACAACAAAAUUCUCUAGUAAGCUCAUGUAACCAAGAUCAAAUGGGACUUCCAGGAGAUUUUUUUUUUGUUUAGACGGAGUCUGAGCCCUGUCACCCAGGCUGGAGUGCAGUGGCACGAUCUUGGCUCACUGCAACCUCUGCCUCCUGGGUUCAAGCCAUUCUCCUGCCUCAGCCUCCCGAGUAGCUGGGAUUACAGACAUGUGCCACCAUACUCAGCUAAUUUUUUGUAUUUUUAGGAGAGAUGAGGUUUCACCAUGUUGGCCAGGAUGGUCUCGAUCUCUUGACCUCAUGAUCUGCCCACUUCGGCCUCCCAAAGUGCUAGGAUUACAGGCGUGAGCCACCACGCCCGGCCCCAGGAGAUUUUUUUUCAAUUGCAUUUAUUUUUUAACUUAUCUCAAGUAAGAGCAGGACACAUUCAUUGCACCUAGAAGGUAGAAAAUAUAAAUAGAAGAAAGAGAGGUGCAAAUCAACCCACUUCUAUUCAACCCACUGGCAUAGUCAACCUGUGACAUUUACUACCAUGGGGAGCUGCUGAGGCAGGGUAGAGUUGGAUUUGAGGAAGGAUUAGAUAAUUUUAUGAGCAUGACUAACAUUUAAAGCUAUGUGAGCUAAAACAAAAAAGAUACGAGGAAAUGAAGUCUCAUGUUGCAGGAUGUAAAUUGAUCACAUGUGGAAGGAGGGGCAAAAAGGAAUUCCCACCUCGCAAUCCAGCGUGGGAUAUUACAGAAUGAGCCAGGUGCAAUAGGCUUGACUUUCCCUCUUUGUUUUCCUUUUCCUUUUCUCUGGUACAUCUGAUUCUGGCUAAACAGUAGGUGGGGAUAUUAGCCCUGAUAAAUAGCGAUUUGAUCCCACAAGGCAACUCCUAUUGAAAACCAAGAUAACACAAAUAUUUUCAAUUCUUCAAGUUGAACCUAGACUAAGUAUUUUGUUUUGUGGGUGAUCCCUCUGUUCUUUUAUUAAGAGAAGAUCAUUUUAUGAGAGCUAAGAAUAUUUGCAUUCCUAGGAUUUAAAAUUCUCAACAAACACAUUGCUCAAGCAAAUAAAAAGAAUAGAACCAAGUAAGGUAAGAUCUUCUUAAUUAGUUGAGACUCUUGAGCAAGGAUGAAUCCAGUCUUGAAGUACUGGCUAUUUCAAAAUACUCAUUUUACCUUAAACAUACAAAUAAAAUGUGUUUCUGAGCUGCAGUAUUCUGAGCUUGGUGAUGAUUGAAGGCCCUGGAAGAGGGGAUGGCAGAUUUUAUUGGUCUGGAUGGGUUCUCACUCGCCAUGUCCCCAUGGGAAAUUUUGUAAAAAUAUUCAACUCUAAUGGUUCAGUGAAAAGCAUUUGGGCCUCAGGGAAUCAACGGGAGCUAAGUUUUAUAGAGUGAAUCCCGUCUGGGACUAGAAGAAUUAAGAAACAGAACUAUGGGAGACAGGCAAGAGGAAUACCAAUACCAGCCCCAUGGUACAAAAAGUUAGUCUUUCAUUGUAUAACCAGUGCUAUGAUUUCCUGCAUUAAGAUUACAAAAGCAAUCAGAUCAGAGAUUGUGGACUUUUUUCAUUAUAGGAUUUGAGUUGACCCUUUCUUCAACUAUGAAUUCUUUGGUUGGGGAACAGCCCUGAUUUCCAAUAUGAACCCUAAAUAUCAUUUGCUUCAGGAAGGAUUUUUCCUGUUGGUUCUUAGCAAUGUUUCUGAACUUGUGGCAAUGGUUGUCUAUACAACAUUGACUACUCCAUUCUCUUAUCCCUUCCUCCCUAGCAUAGACCACUUCUCAUUAUAAAACUUUUCUUUCUUUUUUUUUUUUUUUUUUUUGAGAUGAACUCUUGCUCUGUUGCCCAGGCUGAAGUGCUGUGGCACAAUCUUGGCUCACUGCAACCACCGCCUCCCGGGUUCAAGUGAUUCUCCCACCUCAGUCUCUCAAGUAGCUGGGAUUACAGAUCGAGGAAAGGAGGUUUGCCUGAAAAGGAGCCAGAGUGGUUCUGCCCAGACUGACGUGCUUCUGGCAGCCGGUGUGUACCGCUUGGUGACUGCUCUUUCAUUUCAGAUGGCAAAUGCCCAAGAGCGCAAACCGGACCAUACAAGUGCCAUGAAGCCUCUGUUCAGAACACAUCUGCUCACAUCCCAUUGGCCAGAAAAGUCACAUGGCAAAGCCCAACGGCAGAGAUGAAUGCCUUGUCUGCUCUACAGAAGCACUGCAGUUAUAUGACAAGGCGUGUGGAUGCAAACGCUUUUAUAGGUCUGCUGUUGCCCUGGAGGUGCUGUCAGUGGAGUCUAAGAUUUGGUUCCCUUGUUUGUCAAUAUUCGUCAAUCAGAAUUCUUGAGCAUCUGUCACUUUGAGGCACUGUGCUAAGCACUCAGCAUAAAUUGACUGAAGAAAACAGACACAGUCCCUGCCUUCCCUGAGUGUGCAUUCUAGUGGGAGCAACAGACCUUAAAUGAUACCUUUCUAAAAUUGAGUAUAAAAGGAACUAAUGAGAUAGAAACUCAGAAGGACAAAGACAACAGGUGAUGAGAGAGAGAAUUGUGACUGCAAAGAGUGAACAUAUUUUUGGAAGAUAAAAAGUGGAAGGAGGAGUGAGCAAAAGUAAGAAUGCUGUAUACCAAGUGUGAGCAAACUGGAUGCCAAUGUCAAAGGAGCUAAGUCACAGCAUCUAAACCCCCUAGUCCAGGCAAGUGUUCCUCCUCACCCUGCCAGGAUGCCAGAAUCUUACUAUUCUGUGGAGAAGUUGAACUGGAGUGGCUCCACACCCAGGAUGCCGGCCCCAGAAGAAGUGGAGGUGCAAAAGAAAAGGGUCUGAGCACAAGUGUAGAUACUGAAACAUAAGAUUUCUUCUCCUUCCGGGUGCGCCAACCUUAUGGGUUUGGGUUAUAAUCCUGUGGUAGUAUCAUCUGACUUUUUAAAACUGUAUUUUUUAUUCCUUUUAUAAAAAUUUUACUCACACAUACACAUGCACACACACACACGCACACAUACAUGUAUUUUUUUUAAGAGAAGAGGAAAAGCGUUUCUUGCGGAGGAAACAGCCUGUGUGAACAUCCUGACCAGUGCAUUCAGCGGAGUGGCAAAGAAGACCUGGCAGUGCAAGAGCAGCAGUAGGAGGAGGACAUGGGGAGGAUGAGGUUGGAGAGAGCGGGGUAAGAGGAGGACAUGGGAAGAUGAGGUUGGAGAGCGUGGGGCCAGAUGCUGCGGGACCUUGAGGGCCAUCUGAAAAGUCUGGGUUUUCUUUGAAAUGUAGCCAUGAAAGGUUUUUAAGCCAUGGGUAACAUGAUCUUAUUUAGGUUUAAAGAGUUACUCUAGUUGUAUAAAGAAUAGUUUUGUCACAUAUUUAGCUGGGUCUUCGCAUGAAAAAUUAUGUAUCCCAGUACUUUAGAGCGGAAAGGACCUUCAAGAUCAUUUAGUCCAACCCUUUCUUUUAAAAGAUAAGCAAACUAAGAAGCAGAAAAUUUAUGAUUUGCCCAAGGUCACAGAGCUAAUAACUAUGUGAGGCUUUUAAACUAGGAGUUGCAGGGUGAUAGAUUAUACUUUUAAGAAAUCUUUCUACUUUAUAUUUCCUUUGGCCAGAAGUGAUGUCUCCCUUUUCUGAACUUUCAUCUCACUUUAUUUUUCUCUCCUAUGGUGCUUACUCAUUUAUUACCUUGAUCAUAGUUCUUUGUGUUCUUGUCUUGUCUUAUCUCCUUUAUGAGACUAUAAAAGCAAUCCCUGGAGAGCAGGAAAUAUGGUCUUUACCUUACGUGUCUCUGUAGGACAUUGCCUGUAGUAGGUGUUCAGUCAAUGUUUGUUAAGUAAACAGAUCAAUGGACAGGUGAUACGUGAGUGAAUGAAUGAAUGAAUGAAUGAGUUCUCCAUAUGCUAUAAAUACUGAGUGUUUACUGACUGAAUAUGCACGUGUAGAUUAUACUCUCCCUGAUUUAUCAUUCUAGGCUACUUCCUAGCUAUGUUUUCAUUCAUUUUUCUCUUAUAUGUACAUAAUGGAAAGCAGUUAUUUUUGAUCAGAAGAAAUGAGGUGGCCUAGAAAAAUAUCACAUUUCUAAGUCAGGUAAUUCUUUCUUCCAAGAUUAUCAGCAGGGAGAGCCUCUCCACACUCUCCCCUUCCUUCCCUCCCACCCUACUGGCUAGGUUUAAAUGUUCUUUCUCAACACAUGAUCUUUUGGGAGCUUACUUCUGAAUUUUUUUUUUCAAGAGAUGGCUGAGACUGCCCAUAAGAAACUAACCAAGUGUCCGGGGUAAAACUGUGAUAUCACAAAGGAGAAAAAUGUUUUACUUAAGGUUAAAAAAAAACAGCUCUCUGCUGGAGAGAGCUGUAACUAUGCCCUCUCCAGCAGAGCAAUAUACAUACAUCCAAUGAAAACUAAUGCUGCCAACAGUGGAGAAAGCCCUGAAGGAGAUUUGGGAGCCAUGGGUGAUGUCCCUGCCUUCGAUAUUGACUUGUUCAAUGGCUCUGAUAAUUCAUGAGCACUCUCUCUCUCACUUCACCCCUGCCCUUGGUUUCCUCAUCCAUAAAAGAUACAUAAAAAUAUUAGAAACAAUUGGUCAUAGGUCCAGUUUCUGCUACCACAAAAUGACCCAUUAAUUCUGUCCAUAAAAUUGGUCAGACUGGUUUGGGGGAUAAUUAUUACAUUUUUGGACUCACUGAUUUGGCAUCUUGCACAUACGUAGUCAGGCGCAUGUUGAGAAUCUUUGCCGGAGAUGAGGUUAUACAAUGGAUUUUGGCUCCCUGCAUGAAGAAACAAGCUUCAGGGCAUGCGAUUUGAUGAUCUAAGGUCUCCACUAAGGCAAUCGGCACUCAGAAGACAAACAUGACUCAUUGUGUGUGGGAACUCAUUCCACUGUUCACAAACUUCGGUUUGAGGGUUGGGAAGGUCUGGAAAAGAUUCUAGUGUAAAGCCUAAUUCAGAAGGGUACAGACUGUUUUCUUUGUAAAGUGACACAUGUCAGUGUUGUGAAACAGUGGAAACUGGAAGGAAAAUAAAAUAUUGUGUCGACUGUCA
Gorilla gorilla gorilla (western lowland gorilla) is the source of this 7975-nucleotide long non-coding RNA. RefSeq lists it as uncharacterized. The transcript is spliced from 7 exons. The record is from RefSeq and is a predicted model, not a curated record. NCBI's taxonomy places the organism in Eukaryota, Metazoa, Chordata, Mammalia, Primates, Hominidae.